CCUACGGGUGGCUGCAGUGGGGAAUAUUGGACAAUGGGGGGAACCCUGAUCCAGCCAUGCCGCGUGUGUGAAGAAGGCCCUCGGGUUGUAAAGCACUUUCAGUGAGGAAGAACGCCUGGUGGUUAAUACCCAUCAGGAAAGACAUCACUUACAGAAGAAGCACCGGCUAACUCCGUGCCAGCAGCCGCGGUAAUACGGAGGGUGCGAGCGUUAAUCGGAAUUACUGGGCGUAAAGCGCGCGUAGGUGGCUUGAUAAGCCGGUUGUGAAAGCCCCGGGCUCAACCUGGGAACGGCAUCCGGAACUGUCAAGCUAGAGUGCAGGAGAGGAAGGUAGAAUUCCCGGUGUAGCGGUGAAAUGCGUAGAGAUCGGGAGGAAUACCAGUGGCGAAGGCGGCCUUCUGGACUGACACUGACACUGAGGUGCGAAAGCGUGGGUAGCAAACAGGAUUAGAUACCCCAGUAGUC
Molecule: ribosomal RNA, 465 nt
Filed under: Vreelandella stevensii
Lineage: Bacteria; Pseudomonadati; Pseudomonadota; Gammaproteobacteria; Oceanospirillales; Halomonadaceae
Description: partial 16S ribosomal RNA
Rfam family: Bacterial small subunit ribosomal RNA
Source: RNAcentral